Molecule: long non-coding RNA, 23108 nt
Filed under: Triticum aestivum (bread wheat)
Lineage: Eukaryota; Viridiplantae; Streptophyta; Magnoliopsida; Poales; Poaceae
Description: long non-coding RNA (TAES_LNC014781)
Source: RNAcentral
AAAUUACUAGUUUCUAAUGGUAAAGAGCAUGAAUAUUGACAAUUAUCUAAGUAUGUUCCAGGCUGCUCCUCGAAGAAUACUUGAAUGGUAAGCUGCAUUUGCUUAUUGCUUUCACCAAUUUUGCACUUACAAUCUAAUUAUUUAUAAUUUCCAUUCUGCAGGUAAAUAGGAUAGUCAAAUUCUGGAAGAUUCCAUGGAUGCAACUUAUUGCUAAUGCACCGAGUCAGCUUCUGUAUAUAUGCCGGAUCAUAAUACUGCCAGUAACCUCGAUAGGGUUUCACGCGUAAUCGGAAGGCCAAAAGGGAGUCACAUGAGGCAGUUACCCAGGUCCAGUCCAGGCCCUCACGGUGGAGGUAAAGCCCUACUCCUACUUGAUUGAAUUGAUGGUGAUAGCUUGGUAUGGGAGCUAUGAUGUGGUGUACAAUGGAGAGAUCACUAUGAUCACGUAGGUGUAUCCAGAUUAGAUAAUCUAUGAUCUAGUCCUAGGCCUUGCUUAUACAGGGGACAAGGCCUAGGGGUUACAAUGUUCCAGGUCGGUGACACCGGGGUGGGGAUCCUUCGAGAUCCCCGGGAUAGCUUGUAUUGAUCGCCAAGUAGAUGGAUGCGUCUUGAUGAGGUCGCCAACCCGUUAGAGGGCCUGGGCCACACCGUGGCCUGAUGGGUCGACUUUUGGUCUGUCGGGUGUCGGGUACCCCUGGUACAUGGCAUCGUCAGUAGCCCCAUUGUAUCCUUGCUUACAGGGACAAGACCUAGGGUUUACAAACUUCAAGGUCUGUUAUGCCUGGGUGGUGAUCCUCUGUGAUCCCCGGGAUAGCUUGUCUUGAUCGCCAAGUAGAUGGAUGCGUCCUGAUGACGCCACCAACCUUUUAGAGGGCUUGGCCGCACCGUGGCCUGAUGGGUCGACUUCCGGUCUGCUGGUUUACCCUUGGUACAUGGCAUCGUCAGUAUCCCCCGAGUGCGUCAUGGACUCGACUGCAUCUGGGUUGCAAUUGAAAUGAUCGUGCUAUCUUGGACUGCUUGGCGAGGUUGUGAGGUACUCCUGGAAUCCCUAAAAUAAAAACAAAUCUGGCUCUGCCUAAUGAGAGGGCCAUAGCAGCUGGACGUGCCUGGUGUGGAUACCUGAAGGGGAACCUGGACCCGACCAGACAGGAGAUGUGCCUGGUGGCCAGCUCCCUAGUUUUGCCAGUGGCUUGUUUACGAAGGGCCUAAUGUCGACAGUAAUCUCGAUAGGGAGCCACUCGCAAUCAAAAGGCCAGAAGGGAGUCACACGAGGCAGUUAUUCAGGUUCAGGCCUUCACGGUGGAGGCAAGAUCCUAUUCCUGCUUUAUUGAAUUGAUGGUCAUAGCCUUGCAUGAGAGAUAUGGUGUGGUGUACAAUGGAGACAUCGCGAAGGAUCACGUAGGUGUAUCGAGAUUAGAUGAUAUAUGAUCUAGCCCUAGGCCUUGCUUAUGUAAGGGACAGGGCCUAGGGUUUGCAAUUUUCGGGUUGGUUAUGCUCGGGUGGGGAUCCUUUGAGAUUCUCGGGAUAGCUUGUCUUGGUCGCCAAGUAGAUGGAUGCGUGCUAAUGAGGCCGCCAGCCCGGUAACAUGCCUGGGACGCAACGUGGCCCGAUGGGCUGAUUCCCGGCCUGGUGGGCUGACUCCAAUCUGCUAGUGUUCCCCUGGUACAUGGCACCGUCAAUAUACGAGGUGGGUUGACCAUAACAACGGAAAAGCCUUUAGUCCCAAACAAAUUGAGGUAGGCUAGAGGUAGAACCCAUAAGAUCUCGCGACCAACUCAUGGUUCUGGAACAUAUGGAUAGCAAGCUUCCACGUACCCCUGUGCAUGGCUAGUUCUUUAAUGAUACUCUUGUCCUUCAAAUCUCUCUUUACAGAUUCCUCUCAUGUCAAGUUCGGUCUACCCCGACCUCUCUUGACAUUAUCAGCGCGCUUUAGCCGUCCACUAUGCACUGGAGCUUCUAGAAGCCUGCGCUGAAUAUGCCCAAACCAUUUCAGACGAUGUUAGACAAGCUUCUCUUCAAUCGGUGCUGCCCCAACUCCAUCUCGUAUAUCAUAUUCGGACUUGGUCCUUCCUCGUGUGGCCACACAUCCAUCUCAACAUGCGCAUCUCCGCCACACCUAACUGUUGUACAUGUUGCCUUUUAGUCGGCCAACACUCAGCGCCAUGCAACAUUGUGGGUCGAAUCGCCGUCCUAUAGAACUUGCCUUUUAGCUUUCGUGGCACUCUUGUCACAGAGAAUGCCAGAAGCUUGGCGCCACUUCAUCCAUUUGGCUUUGAUUCGAUGGUUCACAUCUUCAUCAAUAUCCCCAUCCUCCCGUAGCAUUGACCCCAAAUAUCGAAAGGUGUCCUUCUAAGGCACCACCUGCCCAUCAAGGCUAACCUCCUCCUCGUGUCUAGUAGUACUGAAACCGCACCUCAUGUACUCGGUUUUAGUCCUACCAAGUCUAAAACCUUUCGAUUCCAAGGUUUGUCUCCAUAGCUCUAACUUCCUAUUGACCCUUGUCCGACUAUUGUCGACUAGCACCACAUCAUUUGCAAAGAGCAUACACCAUGGGAUAUCUCCUUGUAUAUCCUUUAUGACCUCAUCCAUCACCAAAGCAAAAAUAUAAAGGCUCAAAGCUGACCCCUGGUGUAGUCCUAUUAUAAUCGGGAAGUCAUCAGCGUUGCCAUCACUUGUUCGAACACUUGUUACAUCAUUAUUGUACAUGUCCUUGAUGAGGGUAAUGUACUUUGCUGGGACUUUGUGUUUCUCCAAGGCCCACCACAUGGCAUUCUGCGGUAUCUUAUCACGAUGAACACCAUAUGCAGGUCCUUCUUUUGCUCCCUGUAUCUCUCCAUAAGUUGUCGUACCAAGAAAAUAGCUUCCAUGGUCGACCUCCCAAGCAUGAAACCAAACUGAUUUUUGAUCACGCUUGUCAUUCUUCUUGAGCGGUGCUCAAUGACUCUGUCCCAUAGCUUCAUUGUAUGGCUCAUAGCUUAAUUCCACGGUAAUUAGUACAACUCCGAACAUUCCCCUUGUUCUUGAAGAUUGAUACUAAUAUACUCCGUCUUCAUUCUUCUGGCAUCUUGAUGUAGGGUAGAACCCUAAUCGGCCGAUCUUUCACGAAAGGAGCGGAUCCCGCGAUGAACACGAAGAACACAAGGGAAAACGAGGGGAAACACGAGAGGAAACACGGGAAAAUCACUAAACCAACACGAAAUAGUCACACAUGUGCUAGAUCCUCGGGUACAUAAGAGAUCACACGAUCCACGGACAACUAAGGACGAUACAAAGGUAGCCGGUCUUCUCCGUGAGGAGGUCUUGAUGUUCUUCUCCGCAAGGAGGUCUUGAAUCCAAAGGGAUCUUCUCUGAAGAGGGGCCGCGGUCUCUCUCGUGGAGUAGAUCCGAUGUGUAUGAGCAAUGCUCUAUUUCUAAAUAUGAGCUAAACCAAUGCUAACCCUAGAAAGUAGGACGAGGUGGAGAAUAUAUAGUCUAGGGGGGCAAAGGGGUACACGGGCCUCGGCCCUUACACUGUGCGCAGACACGGGCCUCGGCCCUUACACUGUGCGCAGACAGGGGCCGCGGUCUCUCUCAUGGAGUAGAUCCGCUGAUGCUUUUGGCUGUUUGUUGGGGCAGCUCCUGCGCGGCUGCCUAGGCGCCGGAUGUCCGGCCUCUGGCCCGGAUGUCCGGCUGCUGUAGCUUCAGCAGCUUCGUCUUCUUCCGUCGUCGCUUCCAGGCUUUCCUCGCGGAUGGUGUAGUUGCACACUUGCGUUCGCACUCGUCGUCCGUAGCGUUCCGACAAUACCUAUGCAUGCACACGAGUGGAGUGUCAAGUAGUAUACCAUCCUCGAAGGGGUCAAGUGAGCACGUGUAAAGGAGAUGAUUCACGUUUGUGUAUGUGAAGUAGAUGUCGCACGUGUCACUCGCCGAACGGACUCUUGACAUGGUGAUGUCCAUAGGAUGCUCCGCAUCAAAACCUCUCCUCACCGCUGCAUCAAUUAGCUCACGAAGUUUACCUGUUGGGGACGACCCUACGUCCCAGCUACCUAAGCGGAUCCUCCUAGGCUUGGCUAGCUUCCUUACCCUUCGCACUCAUCGAGUCAAAUGCGAAGACCCUUGCUCAUUUUCCACUACACUCCAUCGAUGUAGCGUGCCACUAAGGAUGCGACGACCUGAUCCUUGCUCACUUGCCACCGUAUCCAGAUCAAGAUACNNNNNNNNNNNNNNNNNNNNNNNNNNNNNNNNNNNNNNNNNNNNNNNNNNNNNNNNNNNNNNNNNNNNNNNNNNNNNNNNNNNNNNNNNNNNNNNNNNNNNNNNNNNNNNNNNNNNNNNNNNNNNNNNNNNNNNNNNNNNNNNNNNNNNNNNNNNNNNNNNNNNNNNNNNNNNNNNNNNNNNNNNNNNNNNNNNNNNNNNNNNNNNNNNNNNNNNNNNNNNNNNNNNNNNNNNNNNNNNNNNNNNNNNNNNNNNNNNNNNNNNNNNNNNNNNNNNNNNNNNNNNNNNNNNNNNNNNNNNNNNNNNNNNNNNNNNNNNNNNNNNNNNNNNNNNNNNNNNNNNNNNNNNNNNNNNNNNNNNNNNNNNNNNNNNNNNNNNNNNNNNNNNNAGGAUGACAGGCUAUGUUGAAUAAAUUUAGCAUCAAGUAUUUCAUGUCCAUACUUAAAUAAUGCUGUUUAGUGCAUAAUUUGUAAUAUACAUUGAGGGUUAUACAAUUAUAAUUAUUCGAGUCCGUGCUAUACAUAACUCCGCCUAUGUUGUCUCAACAUAGCCGGUCCCAAGCCCGGGUAAAGGAGGAGGGUUGUGAUAGGCUUGGCGAGCCAACGUAAAAACUCAGCCACUCUUAUGGAGAUGAAACCCAAAAGAUUUUCGUUGGGGCGUAACCCUCUCAGCGACGUGCCACAUCGGAACCCGGGUGUGGUGGAAAAUGGGCAAGGGCCGGGCCGUCACCCCCUAAGUGGCGCGCCGUAUCUUGAUCCGGAUACGGUGGCAAGUGAGCGAGGAUCGGGUCGUCUGGGUUCAGUCUGGGUCCUGACACUACCACCCGCCUGAGAAAUGACUUGCUCUCAAGGCGUAAAAUCUGGAUACGUCGUCUGAAGAAACGGGACGUCUGAAGAAACGGGACAUCUUCCCAGGUAGCAUCAGUAGGUGCUAAGUUCUCCCAGUGAAUCAACCAUUGCGCAAAAGGAACUUUGUUGUGCUAAUAAUGUGCCUGUCCAGCACUGCAAAAGGUGUUGUUUUCAAUAGCCCAUCUUCUUGUUGGCAUUGGAACGUGAGGCAGAGGAACUGCAAACUUGCCCAUAUGUUUCUUGAGGUGGCUAGUACUCCCUCCAUUCCAUAAUGUAGUGCGCCCACGCUUUUCGAGAUUUAACUUCGACCAUAAAUUUAACCGACAUGGGCGAGUGCGGGGGGAGCAUGACAAAUACCUUUGAAUUCGUUUCAAAAGAAGUUUUCAAAGGUAUAAUUUUCAGUAAAAUGAUUUAUGUAUCAUCGGUCUAGUUUAUGGUCAAAGUUGAAUCUUGAAAAGCUUGGGCGCACUACAUUAUGAAAUGGAGGGAGUAUUAAACACUGGAUGAAUUUGAGCAGUGUCUGGGAGUUGAAGUUUGUAAGAAACAGCACCCACUUUGGCUAACACCUUGUAAGGACCACGGCCCCUAGGCCAAAAGCAUUCUGCUUGUAUGGCUGUACCUUAAUGCACAGCAUGUCUCCAACCUUCAGGUGCCUUUCAGUGCGUUUCAGAUCAGCAAAAUGUCUCGUAUGAUUUUUGAGCAUGCAACAGGUCAUCCUUGAGCUUCUGUCUCAUCUUUGUCAAGCAUAUCAGCUUGGGCUCCAAGGCAGUAUACUUCUGGGUUAGUGUCAGUUCAUCGAUUUGGUGAGGAUGAUAUGCAUACGGAGCUUCAAAUGGUGUGACUUUCAAGGAUGUAUCGUAGGUGGUGUUAUACCACUAUUCGGCCAUGGAAAGGCAGUUCAUCUAGUCCUUAGGAUGUUGAAAUACCAUGGAUCUGAGAGAAUGCUCUAGACUGAUUCAUACGUUCACUUUGCUCAUCUGUUUCGGGGUGAUGGGCAGUACUGAAUUUGAGUUUCACUUUAAAGCUGGAUAAGAUAUCCUGAUAUGAUUUGUUGCUGAAUAUUCUGUCCAUGUCAUAUAUAAUCAUAGCAGUACACCAUGCAGUUUCACAAUGUUAUUCAGAAAUAACUGAAGCACAUACUGGACUGUAUAUGGGUGGCUCAAAGGAAGGAAAUGAGCAUAUUUAGUCAGUCUAUUGACUACUGCAGGUACCACCUCUUUCCCUUGAGAUUUUGGUAAAACUUCUAUCAAAUCUAUGGAUAUAUGUCACCAUGGAACAUCAGGGAUUUCAAUAUGAUCCAGUAAUCCAGGAGAGUGUACAUGUUCUACCUUGGUUAAUUGGCACACUAGACAAGUACUGAUGUGUACUGUUCCACAUCUGUUUUCACUAGUAAGCUUGCACGUGCGACGCACGUCUCAAUUAAUGCACGUAUAUACACUAAAUAAGUCAUUCUUUCUAUAUUCUGGAGUUAUAUGUACACUAAUAUGUCUCCAGAAUAUUUUAAACAUCUUCAUUUGUUUAAAACAAAUAGCAAUAAAAAUAUUCUAAUCCAUUACAAAGAUAAAUCUCACAUAGUGAAAUGGGUUUACAUGGCGUAUAAGAAGAACUAGCACAAUGCCCGUGCGUUGCAACGGGGGUAUAAUAAAUAUUCUACUGAUUCAACAUCAAUUGUAUCAGAACAUAUACCUUUAGCAUCCUCGUCUUUUCCUUCAUUCGUCCACUAUCUCCACCUUUCCAAUCCAAACACGUCUUGACAUAUGUUUUCCACUUGUUCUUUCGAAGAAAAGCACUAUUGCAUACUUAUGUAUCUUUUUUUAGGGUUUCAUACAAAGGUAUCAAGAUGAUGAAACUUUUAUUAACCAUGAGCCAUAAUCAGAAAAUGUUUCAUGGAAAGCUGAGAACAAUGCAAGCCAUUAGCAUGUUAAUUUCAUCGAAUCGCUUCAUGAGCCAACAGAACUUUGCUAGAGCUUCAUCUCUUCAAUAACCAUGGCCUCUGUUGCCUUGCAAGGUUGAUCAUCCCUAAAAGCCAGUGUCCAUAUCCCAUCAACAUCAUACUUCUUUGUCUUCCCUUUAAAAUUUUCUGGUAAAGGAAAGGAACGACAAAAUGUUUUAUUUGAGAGGAAAUAAAUUGUGCCCAAUCUUUUUUCACUAGAUUUAUUAUCCACAACAAAAUUUUAUGUCGUAAUGCUAAUCUGUACAUCGGGUCCAUUUAUGGAGCCUGUACAUGAGAACAAUGCCAUCUUGAUGUACGUCGAGGUAAUUCUUCAUAAAAAAAAUAAUCCACCCAGAUAUUUUGUUAGAUACAACUAAAAAGCAGAAUUGACGUUCUUUCCCUCUCUCAAAUGCCAUUCGGCAAGGAAAAGCAUCAACGGCAAGAACAUCACGAUAAACAUUUAGUGUAUCACAAAUAUAGCGAAGAAUUAAGGUAUUCAAUUUCCAUACUGCCAAUUUAAGAACUUCAAGAAAACUCAGGCCUAAGUUGACUUCGAGCCUGGGUUAGGGCACUCAACCAUGAACAUCUAGCUCAGUUGCUUGCUUAUCUAUGGGCUGAUCCAUUGGAGAGUAAAAUAGGCGGUUAUUAGGUAGGUAAAAGUUUCUCAUAGGUGUAAGAGUAAAACUUGAUGUUGUACCAUAGAACCCUGCAAAAAUUACCGCUAUGUUUCAGAAUCAUCGGAGAAUUUGAAGAAAAAAAAUACUUCCAAUACAAAACAAAAUUUAGUAAGAUACGAGACAUUAUUUAAAUUCAGAGAGUACAAGAUUAAUUUGACCAGAUUCAAACUCAAAUCUUGCACAGAAUAUUCUAAUUCAAAGGAUACAAAAAGUAAAUGGACAAAAUCUACCAAGAAGUGGUGCCACAUGUGUCUACUGCCACUGCUGGAAAUGCUCCAAGUAUGGUCAGUAUCAGUGGGAAUGCCUAGUUCUAAAUAAGGGAACUGUAAUUUGAACAACAGCAGGUCCCAGAACCACACCUCAAGCAACAUUUCGUAGCCCAUAUAGCUCCUCAUCCUCUGUAGUGUAAAGAUCCCAAUCUCAUUCUCACUAAUCUAUCCAUGACAAUGAACUGACAUAAGUUUUAGCAUGCCAAGGAAAGGAGAUGGUAGCAUUUGGUUUUGCCAGGGUAGGGAGGAGCUCCAACAGAAAAAGGAGCCGGUGGAGAUAGCUUAGCCUUGCAUGCAAAAAUAACAUGUCAGAAGGCUGGGAGGAGAUCAUGCGGGGACGGCCAGCGUGUUUGCUCGAGCGAGCUGAUGGCCGACAGCUGUGCUCGAGUGCAGACGGAGCGCUGAGCUCGAGUUUGAUGGGAAGCGGCAUAGCUGGGACAAAUGCCUGCAUCAGUAAAAAAAAUGUAAAAACUACUCAUAAUUGCAGUCAUCCAUGAGAACAAAAUUUUGCUAAUUCACGAAGCUCAUAUCAGAACCUUAGAGGCAUUAUUCUCUUGUCUUGUCAGCGUGCUACAUAUCCAUAGUCAGAACUCGUAAGUUGUAGUACUGUUAUAUGCUUGGACACAAAUUUUUGAGAUAGAUUAUUGCUUGUUUCAUGGACUCAUGGAAUCAGAGUAUCAUAGUAUCAUUAACAAUGACAAGGAAGAGCUCCCGAAUUAAGUAGAAGAUUGCUUCAUCCCUUCUUGAAUGCCUUUUCAGAGAACCUGACAAACUAACAGGGCACUACAUAAGCCACCUAACAUCCAAAAUUAUAGAACCAAAAAGAUGCAGUAUGCUCAUUUCCUGAUGAUUUAAAAUAGAACAGAUGUGCCUAUAAUAACAUAAGUAGGCUUACCUUAAGUACCUCGCGCAAGCUAUCCUCCGAAGCCAUUUGUACACCACUUUUUCCCAAACCACGAUGUUGGGACAGGAAUAAGAGUAUCACUCAACUCAAGCAAGUGCCACGCAAAGCAACCAGUGAAUACCAUUUAAGCUAGCUGAUAAUGACAAACUAUAUUGUAUGAAUAUGAUGUCAGUACACUUCAGCCAUCAUUAAAUAAGCAACGGACAUCAUAAUAGCAACUUCACCAUUAGUAUAGUGUCUGAAAAGAAUGCCAAAUUAGAGGAACAAUUCAUAAGUGCUUUAGUUGGCAAAACAAUUUUAUUUUGACUUGGAUCCAUCGAUGAGAAUUCAAGAGGUCGUGGAAAACGUUUUGCUGCAGAUCAGACUGAAGGAAGCACCUGAGCUGGCCAUUGAGUCUUCAGGGAGAGUAAGCGUCAGCGGCUCCACAUCGUUGGAGAAAUAAUCUUCAAACCUAAGUUACGUCAUUAAUAAAAACAGUGGUGAGUAACAUGAAACCUAAGAUUCAGAGAGAUCUAUGAAGCCAUAGUCAAAGGAAAAUAUUUCUGCUGCAAUAUUUUUGUAAAGCAAGUAAGUCCAGUCAUGUAAAAUGAAGCAGAUAUACAUGGCUCAAUGAUGCACUAUCCCAUAUUAAGCAAAGUGUAAAAACUUAAGCUGGGCCAAGGUAAUACAAUCUUGGAAUGCUUACAAUUGUCUCCAUGAAGGUAUUCAGUAGGACGUUCCAGCUGAUCCUAGCUUGUGCACCACCAGCAGUUUCUUGCUGCAGUUACAUAUGUGCAGAUUUGACAGGGAACCAUUAACUUCAGCAGAAGUUUUCUCAAGUAAACCCUCAAAUUCAGACCUAGCACAGGUCAGGCAGUGAUACAAUAAUUGGAUUACCAAAAAGAACAUAGGGGAGAACAUGUAUAGCAUUUCUGGAGCAUGUGCUUAAUGGUAAAAACCUGGUCUUUUUAAGAUUGUUAAUAGCCUCCCCAGCUAACCGAUCAAGACUUAAUGAAUGUUCAAAAUGCAUGUGGACAGCCUUGGGUUCACCAGAUGCGUAAGACUUAAAAACAAAAAUACAAAUUAUACUAUUAAUUCCACCAGAAUUUGACUACCCAACAAAGAAGCUCACAACUAUGUUCAUUUUAGAAGAAAAGAAAAAUUAAGAACAUCUAAAUUUUACGAAGAUGACAAUUGUCGGCACCGAAUCAGCUUGGCGGAGGCACACGAGAACGUGUUCGUACUGGCUGCCGAGACACGGGCUGGCAGCAAGGACAUACUCAUCUUUCCGUCGCGUCGGUGGUUCAGCACUGUGCCAACGCCCGCAUCUCCUCUUUCUCCCCAUUCUCUAGGCUAAUAUAACCAAUCAGAAUGUACAAAAUAGGUAGUACGUAAAUGAAGACUUUCACAUAAAGUUAGUGCAAGAUGAAACACCAAAGGAACAAAAACUGAUUAGUGAAUUACCUCCUGUCUGUUGGGUCGAUUGAUCGAACAGUUUGGGUGCAGGUGGUUGCGGAUCUCGAGAAGAUAAUGGACGUCGAAGGUGGAGGCUGUAAUGGCAUGGGGGAGGGACCCAGGUGGUGCGGGGGUUGGGUCUGAUCCGGGAGGUGCGCCGCCGAGGUCGGGGUGGGAGGUGAGGUCGCCUUGCCUCUGCAGCCUCCGCUUCUCCACAACCUCUUCCCAGAGGAGGCGCACGUUGUCGGCUGGGACCACUCUGAACGGAGGAAGGUUGGAGGUGGGAGGAGGGUUGGAGGUGGUGGCCGCAGGAGCGCCGCCUGAGAUCGGGUGGGAGGUGGGGGGCGGCGCUUCAUGAGUGACGAAAAUAAAUAAAUCAAAUCGCGAAACGUUUUUUCCCCUGAAGUCACUUAAUCAUGAACUGUGGGUUGAAUACGAAAAAGCGCAGGGUCUUUUUUUGCAAAAUACUAAUGACGAACGACCAGAAGCGAUAAGCGCUUUACUAUUAGGUAAGGAUUUUGAAUUGACAGUCGUCAUCAACCAGAAGUACGGCAGCAAACAGUAGCAAUGAAAUCAUAUAUGUUUCUUACUGAUGUAUUAUGAUGAAUUACCUUCAAAUUUACAAAAAUAAGUCAGCAUCAUCCGGCAAGAUCAUUCAUACAUGUUAAGACCUUGAAAUUCACAUGAAAAAAAACAUGUUUACAAAUCUCCAUAUUCGAUUAUCGUAAUUGAGUUUUCUAAGAUAACCUCCGAUGUCUAUAUAUUAUAAUAGAGAACAAAGAGUAAUAUCAGUAAAAUCUAAGAUAAUGUUUUAGCAUUUAAGGAAAAUCUAAUUAUUGCUCUCAUCCUGAGAAUGAAUACUCUCCACCUCUUAUGAGGUUACAUUACUAAGUGGCAGCAGCAUACUGAAUGACAAUAUAUCGGGCCUCAUAAGAAAGAGUUUUGCGAACUUACUCAUGGCUCAUGACAUGGACUGAAACUUCUAAUAAUCCAAAACAAAAACCAGACAAUCAUUUAUUUGUCUGUAGAUAACAAGGUUGAACAUUUCUUGUGACAUUUCCAUUAUGCAUGACAAACAACAUGUAGCUCUCUGCAUCUGCUGUAUCCAUCCUUCUUCAAGGACUUCUGGUCAACAAAUAAUGUAUUCUCUGUAUCAAAGAUGGUUGUUGCCUGAUUAGGAAUCUGUUCCUUGUGCUAUCAACUGUUCAUAGCCUUCUUGGCAUAUUGUCGUUGUUUCAGUAGCCCACCUAGAACCAUCUUCUACAAGGAGACAGUGCCAUUAAAUUAGAGAAAAUGAGAAAUUUUGUAAUGCAUCAACUUCAUUGCGAUAUAAACACCAAUUUUUAGGCACAGCCGAAAACUGUUGAACCGGUAUGGGUCCAAGCCCAUCUUCUUAUCCCUUAGGGCCCAAGCCCAUGUGGAGGUGCUGACCUAGAAAGAGGCAUCCAUCCCUCCCGUUCCUAGUGAGCCGCCACACACGUGAGAAACUUCACGCAGGUCACCAGACACCAAGAGCUCUCCUGUAGGUACUCCUCUCGUUUCAACAUGGUAUCAGAGCCAGGUUGCCGGCGACGCUGGUGGUCUAGGUCGCCGGCCGGUGGCGAGGUCCGGUGAAAGGGGCAGCGCACGCAUCUGGGCGUGGCAGGAGGCGGCGAUCUGUGCAUGCACGCGAGGCGGCGGAGUGGUGCGCGGGACCUGGUGGCUGACGACGCGAGGAUUCCCGGCUGGCGCGGGAAGACCAGUGCGGCUACGCGAGCUGCUGUUGCUGCGUGGGAGGAACCAGCCGAGCUGCUAUUGCUACGCGGGAGGAAGUAGAGGAGGUGCGGUUGCUGAUUGCUGCAGAUUGGUAAAGGAAGGGGAGGUAACGAGCUGCUACUGCUGCUGUUCUGCUGGAGAAGGGUGCAGCUGUGUGCUGGUGGCUGGUGCUGGUUUGCUGUGCUCAGGGCUGCUGUUUGCAGAGGAAGAAGGAAGAGGCUACUGGUGUGGAGCUGUUGCUGGGCAUCUGAGCUGCUGUGUGCUGCUGCUAGCCAGGGGGUGUGAGCUGCUGCUGAUUGCUGAAGGUGAAGGGGGCAACGCUGCUGCUGUUGUUGCUGGGUGCUGCUGCUAUCCAGGGGAAAAAAAGGGACCGUGCAGCUGUAGGGCUGUGUUGCUGAGGGUUGCUGUUUGAUUACCGGAUCGGAGAUGACUGAACCAAAUGCUCUUGCUGAGGCUUUCGAGAAGCUCGCUAAGAUCCUCGCUGAGUCCAACUCUGGGGCCAUCGUUCCUCGGCAGGAAGUGGCGGAAGUGGCUCAAAAGCUUGAAAUGUCACCCCUGGACAUGAAGCUGGAGGGGGCCACAAACUAUUUGAGUUGGUCAAGGAGGGCAUUGCUGGCUGUGGAACAAAAGGAACUUGAUGGGCACUUAUUGGGUACAGUUGAUGAACCAGGAGACAAGACUACCACGGAGGGAAAGAGGUGGAAGGUCAUAAACUCUGUGCUCGUUGGCUGGUUGUUGAACUCAGUGGUGCCCCCCAUUGGACGCUCUCUGUGGAGGGACUAUCUACGUCCGCCGAUAUAUGGAAGACUUUAUCCGCCCAAUACUCAGGCAAGGGUAAUUUUAUGCUAAUUGCUCAGAUUGAAGGGAAGAUCAGUCGGCUGCGCCAAGGUGACGACAUGUCAGUGAUGGCAUAUGUGGCAGAGCUGCAGGCUUUGUGGGCGGAGCAAGAUAACUGCGAUCCUCUGGAACUCUGAUGCCGCUUGCAUCAAGUCAGGGUGGAAGUGGAUUGCACGCAGGCGUGUGUUGAAACUGUUGGAAGGACUUAGAGGCUGCUUUCAUGGAAGGGGGGCAUCCCUGUUGCACCAACCUCUCCAACUAUUGAAGAGACUAUUGCAGCAAUGUCUCAAGAGGAGGUGAGGCUGUCUCUUGAGCAUGCAGAUAUGAAGGCUGUGCCGGCUUCGACAUUUGCUGUCACUGAGCGCAUGGAGUGGGGAGAUCCCAACAAAUGUCAUGUUUGUGGGGAGAUAGGUCACUGGAAGAGGCAAUGUCCAACUCGUGGCAGAGGCAGGGGAUAUAACAGAGGGGGGACUGGCAUAGGUAGGCAUGCUAGAGGCAGGGGUGGAUACCUAGGGAACUUAGGGGGUCAAAUUUCUAGGGGCAUAGGUGGCUACUCAGGAAAUUCAGGGGGGGGGGCAGAGGUCACAUAUGGUAGUUGAAGGGGACACCGGGACGUCAAAGGGCAAGGAAGAUGAUGUGGCUACUCAGGACGUCUUGGAUACUCAAGUGUAAUAAGCCUUCAGUUCACUCAGAACAGAAUGUCUUCAGUGAUGCUCAAUCACUUUGGGGUUGGUUGUUUUGGGUUUGUCCUUGCAAGGAUUCUCUCUCAAAGGCUUCGGAGGAGGGUUGCUCUCACACGACAAAAGCCGUGUACUUCUCUCUGAACAGCCGCCAACUCAUGGUGGAGGGGGGUGGCUAUUUAUAGCCAGGGGCAACCUGACAUGAUUUGUCCGAAAUGACCUUGGAUCAUUGGGGAACUGACACAUGUUCAACAGUCGGAAUUUGAACCCACGUGGCAGCUUGACUUGGGCUACAAGUAAAGCUGACUCAUCCAACACAGGAUAAAUUUUUCUCUCAUUUGUCUUCGCUCGAAGACAUAGGAUUUUAGGUUGAGCAUCACGUCAGAUUCUGACUUCGUUUACCUCUACCCCACUUGACAGUUCGGUGGUUCCUAUGACUCAAGAAUUAAGAAAACGAAACUACCAAAAGACUAUGUCUUCGUGCUUCAUUGUCUUCAAUGAAUGUCUUCAUGAACCGUUAUCUUCAACAUGAAUGUCUUCGUGAACCACCUUUGUCUUCAGUGUCUUCAUACAUUUUUAGGGGUCGCCUUCGAUGGGUAAACCGAAUCAAUAGGGACUUCUACCUGUGUUCUGUGAAUCUCACGAACACGUUAGUCCCACAACCAAGUUUGUCUUCAAUACUCCAAAACCAACAAAGGGUUGCACUAGAUGCACUUACAAUCUUCCCCUUUUUGGUGAUUGAUGACAAACUGGUUGAAGUUUUCAACGGGGAUAAAAAUUUGUGAAGUUAAGGCACAAGGUGUUUGGUUUCAUGAAGUAGUAGGGGCUCCCCCUGAAGAUGUGCAUUUAUGUAAUUUGCUUUUGAAUGCAAAUGCACAUGGCAGAUUUUUCUUUGUGGAGAUCUCCCUCUUUUCAUGAAGUCACAACAUAUGCAUACAAAGAAUACGUUGAAAAUAAUGAAAUGCACAAUGGAAUAUGGGCGUCUGCGAAAUGACUUCAUGCGCAUAAGAUCAAAGUUAAGUAGCGGGCAACCAAAAACAGCAACGAAUGUAGCAGACGUUCAUCAGGACUUAAGUUUACAACCCCAUACCAAAUGUUCAAAAUGAGAGUUGCAAACUUAACAAAAUACAACAAACCCGACCCAAAAUUCUCUCUUGAAGACUAUCAACCCAUAUGCUUCUCCCCCUUUUGUCAUUGAAUGGGCAAAAAGGUGUGAAGACAUAGGGUGUCUAAGCGUUCCCGGAUGACGAUGGUGAAGAUGUUUGUGCAACCGGGUCGACGUUGGUGUUGGGUGGUGCAAAAGCCCGAUGCAGUAUCGCGAUGCAGAGAAGUCAUUGUUGGAGAAGUGGCAUCAUCUUCUUCAUCAACAAGCCGGGCGUAUGUUGGAGAAGUAUUUUUGAUGAAGAGGUUCCUGUUGCGAUUGAUGUCACUCUCUGAGAUGAGACGCCUUCGUUGACCUUGGAGAGCCAGUCCCAGACUACCUUCGCAGACUCCAGAGCACUCAUGCGGCCAUACUGUCCCUUGGUCAGAUGACCACAGAUGAUGUUUUUGACAGUCAAGUCCAGUUGCGCGAACCUCUUCACAUCAACAGCGGUGACACCUUCACUGACCUUGAGAACUCUAGUCCUGAUGACCUUCCAGAGGUCGUUGUCAAUGGCUUCAAGAUGCAUGUGCAUCUUAUUCUUCCAGUAAAGACGGGGCACACAACGGAGACCUUGAUUAUCCCUGUAGUUGACAUAGCUAAAAGUGCAGGUGGUUAAACCGAAUAGCACAGAACAAGGGAGCACCUUGUUUUGAUACCAAUUGAAAGUGCUAGUUAUCGACUAGAGAGGGGGGGGGUGAAUAGGCGAUUUUUAUGAAAAGGUUCAAAAACAGACAAUGUCUACGAAGGUAGCGGAAGUAAUACAUGAUCUAACAACACUGAUGAUUAAGAUGAGCAGGCAUGGCAGGUGUAGACCUCAUACAUGGAUGCAUGCAUUGAAGAUAAACACAAGAAGCAUGAAGAUAAAUGAGCAAACAGAUGAAUGGCUUCAGAGAAUAUCUUCAAACACAGACAAGCAAGCAAAGGAUUCAUAGAAUGAUGCAGUAAGUAAAAGGGAGAGAGGAUGGAGCAAGUAGCUCGGGGAAGACAAUGAUUUGUUUGACCAUUUCCAACUGCUGUGACAGUUGUAUUUGUAUGCCUGGUUAGGGAGUCUGAGAUUAAACUUAGAAGACCUUGUCUUCACCUUAUUCCCCUUGAGCUAAGGUCACCUAGACCUCACCCAAUCACUUAGGUAAGUCUUCAAGGUAGACUUCCAAACCCUUACAGACUUUGUUCACCGGCAAUCCACAAUGGCUCUUAGAUGCUCAGAACAUGACGCCUAAUCGACUAGAAGAUCAUAGUCUUCAAGUGUAAUAAGUCAUCAGUUCACUCAGAACAGAAUGUCUUCAGUGAUGCUCAAUCACUUUGGGCUUUGGUUGUUUUGGGUUUGUCCUUGCAAGGAUUCUCUCUCAAAGGCUUCAGAGCAGGGUUGCUUUUAAACGACAAAAGUCGUGUACUUCUCUCUGAGCAGCCGCCAACUCAUGGUGGAGGGGGGUGGCUAUUUAUAACCAGGGGGCAACCCGACAUGAUUUGUCCGAAAUGACACUGGGUCAUUGGGGAACUGACACGUGUCCAAUGGUCGGAAUUUGAACCCAUGCGGCAACUUGACUUGGGCUACAAGUAAAGCUGACUCAUCCAACAUAGGAUAAUAUUUUCUCUCAAUUGUCUUUGCUCCAAGACAUAGGAUUUUAGGUUGAGCAUCACGUCACAUUCUGACUUCGUUUACCUCUACCCUACUUGACAGUUCGGUGGUUCCUAUGACUUAAGAAUUAAGAAAAUGAAACUACCAAAAGACUAUGUCUUCGUGCUUCAUUGUCUUCAAUGAAUGUCUUCAUGAACCAUUAUCUUCAACAUGAAUGUCUUCGUGAACCACCUUUGCCUUCAGUGUCUUCAUACAUUUUUAGGGGUCAUCUUCGAUGGGUAAACCGAAUCAAUAGGGACUUUUACCUGUGUUCUCCUGUGAAUGUCACAAACACAUUAAUCCCACAACCAAGUUUGUUAUGAUCGUCAUAUUAGGGGCUUAGCCCAGUGGGUUGUGGCCCAAGUUAUCUUAUCCUUAUUAGGGGCUUAGCCCAAUUAUCUUAUCGUUUGCUUAGGAGUCAAGUAAACCUCUCUAUAUAAGGAGAGGAGAUGUAUCAAUCUAAUCAAGCAAGAAGCAAUCAGUAUUUGCUCGGCUUCCCUUAGGGAGCCGGGAGACCUAACCCUAGCCGCCUCUUGCGCCGCCGCCGCCUCUUCUCCAUCACGCAAGGACGGCGCCCAGCCGCCGGCCGCCGCGCCCUCGGCCUCGUCUUCCUCCAUCUUUCCCCUACAGUCUCCGCCCUAGAACCGGCAGAACCCUAGCUCCUAACAAAGUUUGUUUUCAAUACUUCAAAACCAACAAAGGGUGGCACUAGAUGCAUUUACAGAAACUUAAAUGAUAAGUGACUGUAGUGCUUCUACAAAUUCAUUCAUACGAUGCCUGUUCAGGAGUCAGGACAGAAGUGGAUUGGGUAUAUGCAUCAUCGUGAUUUCGAGUGUGAAAUGUUGUAGAUCUAAGACAUAAUAAAAUCAUCACUUCCUUAGCCAUAAACCGAAUAAAUCACAGAACAUAUUGGAAUCAUCACCAUGAACCAGCACAAGAUUGAUAAGUGGCCAUAUCAAGAUCAUACCUUUAACACAAGAAUCAAUCAUAACCAGUAGCGACUUAGUGCAGCAUCCCAGUUUUGUGAAUGAUAUAGAAGACGUGGUGGUUUCUUGUAGCUCCAGCAACGGGCUACCAAAGCCGUAAAUUGACCCGAGCUACAUAUGGAUGGGAGGAACCUGCAUAGCCGAACCUGCCUAUGGAAUCUCUGCAAAACAGAGUACACAGGGGAGCCAUGCAGCCUGAAGUCACCAUAGGGAAGAUUAUAUCAAACAAUUUGAUCCAAAUAAAUUAAGAAUCUUCUGCUUGUGAAUGUUCAGCCCCAUCCAUUCGUGCAAGACAGACUACAUGAGAGGCAGAGACUAACAAUGUUUCUAACUAAAAUAAGCUCCAUUAUCAUAAUAUCAUUAGACAAGCACUACGAUGAUCAGUAACACACCAAAUGAAUCAGCAAUAUUCUAGAGCUAGCAGAGAGCUUACAGCCCAAGCAUACGCGAAACCGCGCAAGGAAGAUGCCCACAUCCAUAUCUCGACAACGGAGUCGAUCCGUCACUCGGAGAGCUUACAACCCAAGCAUACAAUAUUUGAUUUGGUCGCUCCCCGACAGCAAGUCGAUCUCAUGCAUUCUCAUAGUCGUAGGUGGCCGGCGCUUGAUCCUCGUCCCACUUCACGGCGCCACCAUCCUCAUACGUCCUUACCGGGGUUGGUAGAUCCUGUGGAGGGCCAGCAGGGAAGACCAGUGAAGCAGGAGCACGCCUGGGCAGGUCAUCACUGUCAUGGUAGGGCAUCACGGGAAAGGCGUCGGCGCGGUCAAAUGAUGGCGGCGGUAGCGGCGGCGUCAUGAGAUUUUGUUUUGCGCUAAGGUUUUCUUUGCGGGGACAUUUAGCGCUGAGUGGUUGCGGACAUGGGACAGGGAUAUUUCUUCUACCGGUGGAGCUUGGUCAGCCUGCGGGGGACAUUUAGCGCUGAGUGGUUGCGGACACGGGACAGGGAUAUUUCUUCUACCGGUGGAGCUCGGUCAGCCUGCGGUAAUUGCUAGGUCCACACAAUCAGGAUUAGAUUAAUCCUGACGGUUAAGAUUUGCCUAAGAGAGAUGAACUGGUGGUGCUGUUCUAGCUGUGUACGUUUGCUGGGGUGUGUUUAAGAAAGAAAAAGUUUGCUCUUUUAUAAGUAGUAGAGAAAUUGGGCCAGUAAAAGUACCUUUUCAGCCAGUGAUAUGUUCUAAUUCCAGAGUGACCCUCAAGUGCAGAAGUGUGAUAUGUAUGCAGGAGUGUUUGACUAAAGGAAUUUGCAGUUCCAAUGUAUAACCUGGUGUUGUAUUUGAGCACACCAUCAUUUGGAGAGAACUUGUCUUGAUCAAAAACAUCUUGUGCGACUUUGGUCAAUAGUUUGUAGUAGUCAGCAUGCCCAACAUAACUGUUUUUAACAUCAGUGAGCAGUGCCCCUAGUGUGUUUUAAAUGUAGUUUUGGGGAUGUCUGGUGUGGCCAUUCUUAUUAGGUGAUAGCCUCACCUUAAAUCGAAUUUGCUAAAGAAUUUUGCUCCAGUAAAUCCUCCAUAAGAGGCAUGGGGAAUUUGUUUUUAAAACGCAGUGGAGAACUCUCUGUAAUUCACACAUAAUCUCCACCCCCAUCCUUUUUUAUGACCAUUACCGCUGAAGAGGAAUAGGGACUGAAACUGAGUUCAUAUAAGCAAUGAGGUGCUCAUUCUGCAUCAGCACAGCACCCACCCGUGACCCCUAUUGCGCAAGCGUCUGUUUCAAUGGCAAAUGGCAGCUUGAAAUUUGGCAAGGCCAAAGACUGGGGUACGGGUCAUCACUUGUUUUAAGAGCUCAAAUGCUGAUGUAGCAUGUUCAGACCUGACAAACCCCUUCUUAGUCAGCAGCUGUGUCAGGGGUUUCGUGAUGAUACCAUAAUUCCGAACAAACUUGCGGUAGUACCCUGUUAAUCCGAGAAACCCUCGCAAUUCUGUAGCAUUGGUGGGUACGGGCCAUUUCUUCGACUGUUUUUUCUGGAUCCGUAGCCACCCCAGUGUCUGAAAUAAUAUGGCCAAGAUACUGAAUGUUGCUUUGCCGGAGGAGUACUUGGACAGUUUUGCAAAGAACUUGUUUGCACGGAGCUGCUCGAGCACAAGGCGUAGGUGUUCCAGAUGAGCUUCCCAUGAUACAUUGUACACCAGGAUGUCGUCCAAGAACACUAUCACAAUUUGUGAAGUAAAAGAGCAAAGACUGAGUUCAUGACGCACUGGAACGUCGCUGGUGCAUUCGUAAGACCGAAGUGCAUCACAUGGAACUGAAAAUGCACGUGGUGUGUUUUGAAAGCCGUCUCUGGUUCAUCUUCAGGGCGCAUUCAAAUCUGAUGAUAGCCUGCACGAAGAUCUAGCUUUGAAAAGAACCUUGUGUGUGCGAGCUCAUCGAGUAAUUCGUCCACCAUCAGAGGGGUACACAUCUCCAUUAGAGAAGGGGUUUGUGACGAUUCACCAACUCUAGUAUGCAGUGUAUUGUGCUCUUUAUGUAGGUGAACACACUAGGUGCCUGUGUGCCACAUUUAUACAUCUGGUCCGUACACACAAGCACACAUCUUCUACCCGUCGCUUCAGGUAUGCAUCUUUCCUCUGUUUUAAUGCUAUAAUAACCCCCCCUCCCUCCCAUGCGUGCUUCUCUCCCAUGGCACUGUGCUCUGGUGAAUGGAGGAGAGAAGCCUCCAGGCAUGCAUCGGCCGCUGCACAGGAGCUGCAAUGUGCCGGCAGCCAUGUCUCUAUCGUUGUUGUCACGUGGACAGCCGUGGCAACAGAGGAGAGCUGCAGCGGCGUCUAGCCUGUAAUAGCUGUUGCAUCAAUUCCAUUUUUUGGGUUCACUUGAGAUCGACGAAUCGGAAGGAAACUUGAGAUGAUUAGAGUUCGGUGAAUCGGACAUCAAUUUCCGAUCAAACCGAGCGAAUUCGUACUCCGAUCUAGAUCUGGGAGCAUAGUGAACAUAAAACUAGUUAAAGAAGACGCACAUUGCUUAAACAAAUGGAAUGAAUAGUUUGCUAACUGGGGCCAUAGCGAACAUAAAACUAUCCUAACAACAUUUUCUUAUUUUGCACUUUCUUCCGUAAAUAGAUGAUGUGUAGGACAUGGGCGCAGUCUCCACCAUGCAACGUGGACCAUUAAUUUCCGUACAAGUAUAUCAGUAGAAGUAAUAUGAAAUACUACCUCCGUCCCAAAUUAUAAGACAUAAGUGUCUUAUUUUUUUUCUGAGAAAACGCGAGAGGUUGCAUUUCAUUGCUUUGGAAAGAGAGAGGGUUUUAGUUACAAUCCUUCAAGGAGGGAAUUACAGUGCCCAAAGGCGCAUCAGUGAACGUCCCAAGUUUGCGGUACGAUGGCUUGUAGCCCGAGGGCGCCGACUCUGGCCCAGAGGGCGGCCUCGUCCUUGAUCUUCGUGAGAAGGUCGGUCGCCGAGGGCCGUCCUCUGUCGAAGACGCAGUUGUUAUGAUGCUUCCAGAUCAUCCAUGGACGAGGAGGGUCGUGGAGGCGAGCCCCUUGCACAUGGGUUGGGGGGUGUGCUGCCACGCCGUGUGCCACCAGUUGUUGAGAGAGGUCUCGCUGUCGGGCGGGGCGCAGGGGAGCUGGAGCUAAUACAGUACCUCGUGCUAGAUCUGCCGGGCAAAGGGGCAACCUAGGAUAAGGUGGUGCAUGGUCUCGGGGGCCUGGUCACAGAGGGGGCAUCGCACAGGGUGUUGCAGGCCGUGGUCGGCGAGGCGGUUGGCCGUCCAACAUCGGUCCCACAAGUGAUGUGAAGUCGGGUUGACCUAGAGGGUACCCGCGAGAUAAUUAUGAGGCGCGGCCGGGCUGGCAGACACCAGCCCGCCCUAGAGUGGGCUGGUCUUGGCCCUUGCCGCAAGUCCUCAAGACCAAGGUAGUUAGAGUCGGGAUUCGGAGUCGGAUCGGUUUUCCUCAGACAUAAUCGAGUCGUAAGAUCGAGUCGUGCAAUCGAGGAUUCUACUAGAUUUACUCAAAUAAGAUAUUUUGUAUGCACACAAGAAAUUUAUAUGGGUUCUAUAGAGUUUUGAAACUAAAUAUGGAGCAAAGAACAUACAAAUAAAGGCUAGUUGUAUUCCACUUCAUUUUAUGCCUAACCAACCAUCUAGCUCGCAUGUAUGGAACAUAUAAGAGAGCGAAAUAUAUAGAACAUUUAAACCUUCAAUGCACGAAAUUUACUUAUGUUCUUUUUAGAGUGCGUGAAUAGUCGAUCACUUGUCUAUCUGACCUACAGUGCUAAACCUUGAAGGGUCUUGCUCUCCUUCUCCGAUCAAUCUUGAAGCAUCCUCCUUUUCACGCCAAUUCCAUAUGUCGACAAGCCUGAUCCUCAAUUUCGAUCUAGAGUUUCUAAGAGCUAGAUCAAAGGUGUCUACGGUGAGCAUUUGGACUUGGGAGGGGAAUAAAGGUCCAUGAGGUAUAUGAAAGGGGGUUUGGAUGAUGGCAUAUUAUUUUGCUACAACUAAACAAAUGGCUUAGAUAAGUUAGUAGAAUCGGAUGUAGUUCAUAGCAUAGUCGGGAUUGUACAGUUUUGUACAAGAUUCUAUGAUUUUGAUCGCGACUCAACAUGGAUUCUACCUUAUCCGGAUUCAUAGUGGGAUUUGGAUUGACAUGCUUCCAUAGGGUCGUGAAGUCGUAGGAUUCUAGCAGUCGAAUCAGGAUUCUGACUACCUUGCUCAAGACAAGGCGACAGGAGUACUGAUUGUCACCGCACGCUCCCAAGUCACUAACGAGAUUGGGUAUUUGAUCUGAGUUAGCCACUAGCCUAUACGCACUAACCACCACGUGGGAACAUAUAUGGGCACUCAGCGUAGUAUGUAUCAACCGAAGCUCUCCAGACGUCAGCGGUUUAGUGGCGCGCGCUCGGGUGGCCCACGUAAGCACCAGCCUUGUUUAAGGAGGUUGCCAGGACUGACACCGACCGCAUUCGCAACACGCAGUAUUGCAAAGGACGAUUGGCCCAUGGCCCCUUCACAUUUAGGAUGUAGACCGACGUGCUGGCCUCUCUGUUGAGGCUGGGCAUGGCCUAGGAAAGUGUGUCCGGCCAGGUGAUCAAGCGUGUUGGGAAAUGUGGUGCACCCUUGCAAGGGAGUUAAUCUAUUUGAAUAGCCGUAUCCUCGGUAAAAGGACGACUUGGAGUUGUAUCCGAUCUAUACAACUAGAACUGGAUACUGAGAUGUAAAUGGGAUAUGAUGGCUCCGGGAUUGCUUUGUCGCAGGGAGUCGAGAAAGGACCUCUGGGCGUUAAUACUACAACAUGCUUGCUUAAUAUAUGCUAUUCUAUACUCUUCUAAAUGCUACAAGAUGCUUGAAGAUGCUAGCCUUCGAUAGGCUAGGCUUUCCCUUCUCUUUUGGCAUUCUGCAGUUCAGUCCACAGACACAACCCAUUCCUUUGAUACUGAUGCAUACUUAGUUUAGAUCUGAUGUAAGUCUUGCGAGUACUUUGGAUGAGUACUCAUGGUUGCUUUGCUACCCCUUUUCCCCCAUACCCGAUUGCUGUGAUCAGAAGAUGGAUCCCAGGAGCCAGAUGCCACCACCGACGACUACUACUAUCCGAGGGUGCCUACUACUACGUGGAGGCCACUGACAAUCAGGAGUAGUUAGGAGGCUCUCGGACAGGAGGCCUUGCCUUUUCGAUCGUGUUACUUUUGUGCUAGCCUUCUUAAGGCAAAUUUGUUUAACUUAUGUCUGUACUUAGAUAUUUUUGCUUCUGCUGACUCGUUUAUAUUCGAGUUUCUAUAUUCGAGCCCUCGAGGCCCCUGGCUUGUAAUAUAAACUUGUGUGACUUAAUUUGUGUUUAGAGUUGUGUUGUGAUAUCUUCAUGUGAGUCCCUGAUCUUGAUAAUACAUAUUUGCGUGUAUGAU